Non-coding RNA from Podarcis lilfordi (Lilford's wall lizard), 458 nucleotides. Lineage: Eukaryota; Metazoa; Chordata; Lepidosauria; Squamata; Lacertidae. The record is from the annotation of a GenBank genome assembly.
GUUUCUUUUCUGCCAAUGCUCAUUGCACUGGUUGCUUCUUUCCCAUGUAUGUCAAGGUCUUUUUCCUUCCUUAAUUCAUUCAUUUUGAGUUUCAUGUGACAACUGUGGGCUGCUGCCUUUCCUAUUUCAACUUUUUUCCCUCCUUUCCUAUUCCAGGCACUCUCACCCAAAUUAUUCUGACCCAGUCGGAUCCAGUACUGAAGAAACCUGGAGAAUCUCACAAACUCACCUGUGCUGUCACUGGGUUUGAUGUUAACAGCUACGCUAUGGGCUGGGUCCGACAAAAACCUGGAAAAGGAUUGGAAUGGCUUGUUCUCUACUAUAAAGCUUGGAGCAGUCAAUAUUAUUCCCCUACAAUUCAAGGGCGAUUCACAGCCUCAACGGACAGCUCCAACUUCUAUCUGCAAAUGAACAACCUGAAAGCAGAAGACACAGCUGUCUAUUACUGUGCGAGACGC